This 94-nucleotide ribosomal RNA is filed under the name uncultured bacterium. Its description in RNAcentral is "partial 16S ribosomal RNA". It matches the Rfam family "Bacterial small subunit ribosomal RNA", at positions 1389 to 1482 of the family's 1533-position model. The record is from RNAcentral.
ACCGCCCGUCACACCAUGGGAGUGGGGUUCACCAGAAGCAGGUUGCCCAACCGCAAGGAAGGCGCCUACCACGGUGAGCUUCAUGACUGGGGUG